Molecule: non-coding RNA, 76 nt
Organism: Stegodyphus mimosarum
Lineage: Eukaryota; Metazoa; Arthropoda; Arachnida; Araneae; Eresidae
Source: Rfam
GCUUUCGUAGUGUAGUAGUGGUCAGCACACUCGGCGCGUAUUCGAGAGAUCCGUGGUUCGAGUCCCGGCGACAGCA